UCAUCGUAGUUUUUUCCUUAGAGUAUUCCAUCCAAAGUUUAUCAAUCCAUGUAUCGGCAGCGAACUAAUUAGGAUUUUUCCAUCUAAUGUAACGGAUCUAAUUCUAACAUGAAUCAUAGAUUGCAUAGGAAGAAGGUAACCUUGGUGUAAAGGUAAAUCACGAGAACAUGUAGAUCACAUCUACAGAUACCUAGUUGUAGUUCUACCUAACGAGCAAG
This 218-nucleotide long non-coding RNA is filed under the name Setaria viridis. RNAcentral describes it as "long non-coding RNA (SVIR_LNC001322)". Lineage: Eukaryota; Viridiplantae; Streptophyta; Magnoliopsida; Poales; Poaceae. The record is from RNAcentral.